Long non-coding RNA from Pezoporus flaviventris, 823 nucleotides. RefSeq lists it as uncharacterized. The record is from RefSeq and is a predicted model, not a curated record. The transcript is spliced from 2 exons. Lineage: Eukaryota; Metazoa; Chordata; Aves; Psittaciformes; Psittacidae.
AAUAUAAAAAAAAAAUCGACCAAUUUUCAUUGUAGAUGAAAAGCUAUUUCUCAUUUGGAAAAAAUGUUUUGAUGGGAAAAAUUCAAGCAGUCCCAGUUCCAAUCUCGGCGAGCUCUAUGUGGGUAGAUUCCCCUGGCCACGUGGAGCUCAUUACAAGAUCAGACACUCCUUUUGUAACUUAAUUAGGGGAGUGAAUAUGUUAUUUAGACAAGUGCAUCGUCAGAACUAAGCCUGGGUUGGUGACAUGGAGUCGGGAUGCUCCAGGACUGUUCAUGGGAUGGAGGGAGGUGCCGGCUCGCUGGACUCCAGGAGGCCGAGCUGCAGCUGGGGAGGGAUUUGGUCCUUUCUGGGUUCCGGUCGGGAGUUCUGUGAAUGUGGAAAGUCUCUGCCCCCGCAUCCAGCCUGCACAGUUAUAUAAGACUUGAACCGCAUCCCCCGCUCCUUCGCGGCCGCUCACAACGCGCUGGGGGCCGGAGCCAGAUGGAGGAAGGUUCCGUCAGGAAAGUUUAACUCAGCGGGGAAGCUGCAGCCAGUGGAGGACACGAUUCUCUCGCUGAACUCUCCAAAAGCCUUGGAAAUCUUACAGUUGUGUCAUAUGCUGGUUUGGGGAAUGCGAGCAGUCCGGAGGCAGCCGCCAGCCCUCUUUCACUUCUUUAUUUUUUUUCUCUUCGCUUUGCACUGAGUUUAAUUUGGGUAGCAGGAUUCAGCAUUUUUAAAUUGGAAAAAUCUUGGUGGAAGAAGAUAUUUUAGGAAAACCCUGUCAUGUGAACUAGCGGGAGCCGAUCAAACCGAGCUAUUAAAAGAAAGAUAUUGUAUUUUUAAA